UGGGGAAUAUUGCACAAUGGGCGCAAGCCUGAUGCAGCCAUGCCGCGUGUGUGAAGAAGGCCUUCGGGUUGUAAAGCACUUUCAGCGGGGAGGAAGGCGACACGGUUAAUAACCGUGUUGAUUGACGUUACCCGCAGAAGAAGCACCGGCUAACUCCGUGCCAGCAGCCGCGGUAAUACGGAGGGUGCAAGCGUUAAUCGGAAUUACUGGGCGUAAAGCGCGCGUAGGUGGUUAGUUAAGUUGGAUGUGAAAUCCCCGGGCUCAACCUAGGAACUGCAUUCAAAACUGACUGACUAGAGUAUGGUAGAGGGUGGUGGAAUUUCCUGUGUAGCGGUGAAAUGCUUAGAUAUUACAUGGAAUACCAAUUGCGAAGGCAGGUUACUACUAAUGGAUUGACGCUGAUGGACGAAAGCGUGGGGAGCGAACA
This 427-nucleotide ribosomal RNA is filed under the name uncultured bacterium. Its description in RNAcentral is "bacterial SSU rRNA". It matches the Rfam family "Bacterial small subunit ribosomal RNA", at positions 355 to 774 of the family's 1533-position model. The record is from RNAcentral.